RNAcentral lists this ribosomal RNA (460 nucleotides) under uncultured bacterium. RNAcentral describes it as "partial 16S ribosomal RNA". It matches the Rfam family "Bacterial small subunit ribosomal RNA", at positions 338 to 795 of the family's 1533-position model. The record is from RNAcentral.
CCUACGGGAGGCAGCAGUGAGGAAUAUUGGUCAAUGGCCGGAAGGCUGAACCAGCCAUGCCGCGUGAAGGUCAGUGCCCUAUGGGCGUUAAACUUCUUUUGUUCGGGAGCAAUAAUGGUCACGUCUGGCCCGCCUAUAUUACCGUUCUAAUAAGCAUCGGGUAACCCCGUGCCAACAGCCGCGGUUAUUCGGGGGAUGCAAGCGUUAUUCUGAUUUUUUGGGUUUAAAGGGGGCGUAGGCUGUGAGGUAAGUCAGCGGUGAAAUGCCCCCGGUCAACGGGGUGAAGUGCCAUUGAUACUGCCUGGCUGGAAUGCGGAUGCGGUGGGAGGAAUGUGUGGUGUAGCGGUGAAAUGCAUAGAUAUCAUACAGAACACCGAUUGCGAAGGCAGCUUACCAAACUAUAUCUGACGUUGAGGCACGAAAGCGUGGGUAGCAAACAGGAUUAGAUACCCGAGUAGUC